Molecule: transfer RNA, 58 nt
Filed under: Leptotrombidium intermedium
Lineage: Eukaryota; Metazoa; Arthropoda; Arachnida; Trombidiformes; Trombiculidae
Description: tRNA-Leu
Source: RNAcentral
UUAUUCAAGUAAAUAAUUUUGAUUUUAGGAAUCAAAUAAGGUUUAUCCCUUGAAUUAU